Molecule: ribosomal RNA, 896 nt
Filed under: uncultured Lysobacterales bacterium
Lineage: Bacteria; Pseudomonadati; Pseudomonadota; Gammaproteobacteria; Lysobacterales
Description: bacterial SSU rRNA
Rfam family: Bacterial small subunit ribosomal RNA
Source: RNAcentral
UGCCAGCAGCCGCGGUAAUACGAAGGGUGCAAGCGUUAAUCGGAAUUACUGGGCGUAAAGGGUGCGUAGGCGGUUUGUUAAGUCUGUCGUGAAAUCCCCGGGCUCAACCUGGGAAUGGCGAUGGAUACUGGCAAGCUAGAGUGUGUCAGAGGAUGGUGGAAUUUCCGGUGUAGCGGUGAAAUGCGUAGAGAUCGGAAGGAACAUCAGUGGCGAAGGCGGCCAUCUGGGACAACACUGACGCUGAAGCACGAAAGCGUGGGGAGCAAACAGGAUUAGAUACCCUGGUAGUCCACGCCCUAAACGAUGCGAACUGGAUGUUGGUCUCAACUCGGAGAUCAGUGUCGAAGCUAACGCGUUAAGUUCGCCGCCUGGGGAGUACGGUCGCAAGACUGAAACUCAAAGGAAUUGACGGGGGCCCGCACAAGCGGUGGAGUAUGUGGUUUAAUUCGAUGCAACGCGAAGAACCUUACCUGGCCUUGACAUGUCUGGAAUCCUGCAGAGAUGCGGGAGUGCCUUCGGGAAUCAGAACACAGGUGCUGCAUGGCUGUCGUCAGCUCGUGUCGUGAGAUGUUGGGUUAAGUCCCGCAACGAGCGCAACCCUUGUCCUUAGUUGCCAGCACGUAAUGGUGGGAACUCUAAGGAGACUGCCGGUGACAAACCGGAGGAAGGUGGGGAUGACGUCAAGUCCUCAUGGCCCUUACGGCCAGGGCUACACACGUACUACAAUGGUCGGUACAGAGGGUUGCAAUACCGCGAGGUGGAGCCAAUCCCAGAAAGCCGAUCCCAGUCCGGAUCGGAGUCUGCAACUCGACUCCGUGAAGUCGGAAUCGCUAGUAAUCGCGGAUCAGCUAUGCCGCGGUGAAUACGUUCCCGGGCCUUGCACACACCGCCCGUCA